This 88-nucleotide non-coding RNA is filed under the name Pseudomonas moraviensis. Lineage: Bacteria; Pseudomonadati; Pseudomonadota; Gammaproteobacteria; Pseudomonadales; Pseudomonadaceae. The record is from RNAcentral.
CUCAAUGGUAGCUGUGCGCAGGGCGCCUUCGGGUGCGCCGGUAAUGCUUGGGUACUGGUCGACUAACCUGCGUACAGCUGCCACCUAU